GAGGCGAGGUCUAGGUCAGGAAAGGUAGAAGGGUAUUGGCCACGGGAUGGAGGAGGCGCAUUAGAGUCGCGGUAGUGUGAUGGUACGGCGGGGGUGCGCUCGAGUCGCGGCGGCGUAAGGGCAUGGCGCGGGUGCGGACAGUCUGCGGCGUCGAGGCGCGAGGGUGGCAGUGCGCACGGGGCGCGGGAUCUACGGGUCCGAUUGAGGAUAUUACCUAGGGCCCCCCAGGAUAGGAGGCCGCGACUUCCCCUGCCGCCGGACUUCUUGCUGCUCAGAGUCUCCUCCUGCUCGCCGCCCACAUCGACCACGAGUUGGCCCUCUCGCACGUGGAUAGCGACGUCUCCUUCUUCGUCGCGAGCGGCGGUGGGAAGUGGUGCAGGCGGCGGAGGGGGACCACGGCGCUCCGCGGAGUGGCCGGCCUAGGUGAGCUAGACCCGUACGGUGAUGGUGUAGGGAGCUCCAUUGACUUCAUGACCUGAUACACAUUUGACGGAGGUGGUGCGGGGUCAGAGUGCCGCAGUCGACGCACUUGCGCUGGUGGCAGCUAGGUAGGUCAACGCCUGCGCGGUCGGAAUUGCGGUAGAGGAAGGUGUACGACCGGAUGAUGAGCGCACCUGCGAGCGGUGCUAGACCUACAGCGCGUCGGAGUCGUCGGACUGCGGUGGGUACUUAGUCCGGAUUAAUGAACCGGCACUUUCCGCUGUUGCUAGUACCUUAAUCACCUAAGAGGAACUACUACGCGAUACUGUGUUGUUACAAUGUGUCACUUAACCAUGAAAAGCAUCGUUGACCCACCACCUAGCUAACUUGACUAAACUCUCCUAACACGAAACUAAAAGGCUGAAGAACGUCGAACUCAUGCUCCUUCUCUACCUAGACGGAGACAACCACCCUCUGUCUGUUACGGAACACGACGAUAAAGGAUUUAUUCUAUAUGUGUACAGAAGUGUGGCGGUAACGACAACGCGGGUAUUGCGUUCGAGGCCACGGCGGCGCUACAACCAGGCGCUUCUCCUACGUUUGUGAUAUCGAGACUUGAGGUACGGUCUGUAACGAGAGUAAGACAACGAUAACCACACCUCGCGGCUCCUGCGUACAGGGUACCGGCGGCCAAGAAGGUCAGUCCCCUACGCUUUAGACGGUGGUAGCAAAGAGAGACACGCGGCCAUACAAAACACACACUAAACUUCAAACCGUUGACCGUACUCUCUUUUUGUAGUCACCUAUAGAGGGUAGUUAACGUCUGUCAACCAAACAAUGAAAUCUGACUGCUGACUUAGGUGCCCAUUACAAACGUCGUUAUUUUGACGUUGGAAGUAACAUCCUGUUCAAGAUGGACUUAGAGUACCAAACAGAAGUGUAUUACAAGAGAAUCAGCCAAACGUCGUACGUCGUUCCACUCGUUGUUUAGUAGUAGCACUCUAAAGAAAAGAUUCACGACUUCUUUCGAUGAUUCGUUCAAGUACGUACAUGUUUGUAAAGAUUAACGACGAAAAUCUCUUCGGGGUCAACAUCUAAUAAAACAUACGACUACCACGGCACCGCCGACGUACGGCCUCCCGACGUAUGAACUGAAGAUGUAGCGGUAGAAGUUGUUCCUCUUCUAGAGGGAGCGACCGGUGCUGCUCCAGGCGCGGACGUGAGGGUAAGGGUAAGAAAGAGGGGGAGGUCCUUAACCCCAAAGAUAACGAAAAAAAAAACAAACCACACACGGAGACCUCAUAUGCCACCGCCCGCCCGCCUUGAAGAACGGUGACGAGGGUCUCCGCAGUUUCAGCAGUUCGGGAGACAUCACUAGCCUGCCCUGAUGGUCCAAGUCAGGGUAGAACCGAAAUGAUACAGAGAUAUGAAGAUAAGAUGACUUAUAACAAGAACCUCGAAGUUUCCGUUAACGAAAUGACCACUUGUACAUCCUCCUAAACACCAAAUCGCAAUAAUCUGGAGACAUUUACGUACAGAUCCUCCUAAGAAGCUCGACAUGACAUAAUACAUUCAGGUAGUUUCGAUAAACGAAAUAACCACUUGUACAUAUCCUCCUAAGUAAUAAUCUGGAGACAUGUAUGUACAAACGAGACACGAUAUUUUUCUGAGAGGAAACCACCACUCGUAUUUUUCCUUCUUUAAAUGAUGAGCGUUAUUUUAAAUUAACCCACUUGAUAUCUUCGACUGAAACAAUCUCUUUCCAAGUCUUGGGUGGGUAAGAAAGAACGUCCUAACUCUUCUAACACUGAAACUUUGGAAAAUCUCUGAAACAAUCUCCUUCCAAGUCUUGGGUGGGAAAGAAAGAACGUCCUAACUCUUCUAACACUAAAACUUUGGAAAAUCUACAUGUCUUUCUUUCGUCUAACACGAACAUGUAUUACUACCAGUCUUCCAGUUUAUAUACCAUACCCUUCACCAAAGUGACUAACAUGAACAUGUCGUUCUCUCGUCUAACACAAAGGAAAGUCUUCUAUUGAAAACGGCCGGUAACACAACGAACGUUCGUCUUAUGAAUAACAAAAUCAAUACAUUUAUUUCCCUUUGACGUGGUGUCAGUAGUACGUUAAACUA
This 2553-nucleotide ribosomal RNA is filed under the name Triticum aestivum (bread wheat). RNAcentral's name for it is "partial small subunit ribosomal RNA". Lineage: Eukaryota; Viridiplantae; Streptophyta; Magnoliopsida; Poales; Poaceae. The record is from RNAcentral.